RNAcentral lists this ribosomal RNA (490 nucleotides) under uncultured bacterium. RNAcentral describes it as "partial 16S ribosomal RNA". It matches the Rfam family "Bacterial small subunit ribosomal RNA", at positions 28 to 507 of the family's 1533-position model. The record is from RNAcentral.
GAUGAACGCUAGCGGCAGGCCUAAUACAUGCAAGUCGAACGGGAUCCAGAUCAAAGCUUGCUUUGGUCUGGUGAGAGUGGCGCACGGGUGCGUAACGCGUGAGCAACCUACCCUUGUCAGGGGGAUAGCCCGGCGAAAGUCGGAUUAAUACCGCAUGACAUCAUUGAGAGGCAUCUUUCGAUGAUCAAAGAUUUAUCGGACAAGGAUGGGCUCGCGUGACAUUAGCUAGUUGGUAAGGUAACGGCUUACCAAGGCUGCGAUGUCUAGGGGCUCUGAGAGGAGAAUCCCCCACACUGGUACUGAGACACGGACCAGAGUCCUACGGGAGGCAGCAGUAAGGAAUAUUGGUCAAUGGACGGAAGUCUGAACCAGCCAUGCCGCGUGCAGGAAGACGGCCCUAUGGGUUGUAAGCUGCUUUUAUACGGGAACAAACGUCGGUACGUGUACCGGUCUGAGUGUACCGUAAGAAUAAGGAUCGGCUAACUCCGUG